GAUGAACGCUGGCGGCGUGCCUAAUACAUGCAAGUCGAGCGAACGGACGAGAAGCUUGCUUCUCUGAUGUUAGCGGCGGAAGGGUGAGUAACACGUGGAUACCCUACCUAUAAGACCGGGAUAACUUCGGGAAACCGGAGCUAAUACCGGAUAAUAUUUUGACCCGCAUGGUUCAAAAGUGAAAGACGGUCUUGCUGUCACUUAUAGAUGGAUCCGCGCUGCAUUAGCUAGUUGGUAAGGUAACGGCUUACCAAGGCAACGAUGCAUAGCCGACCUGAGAGGGUGAUCGGCCACACUGGAACUGAGACACGGUCCAGACUCCUACGGGAGGCAGCAGUAGGGAAUCUUCCGCAAUGGGCGAAAGCCUGACGGAGCAACGCCGCGUGAGUGAUGAAGGUCUUCGGAUCGUAAACCUCUGUUAUUAGGGAAGAACAUAUGUGUAAGUAACUGUGCACAUCUUGACGGUACCUAAUCAGAAAGCCCCGGCUAACUACGUG
This 497-nucleotide ribosomal RNA is filed under the name uncultured bacterium. RNAcentral's name for it is "partial 16S ribosomal RNA". It matches the Rfam family "Bacterial small subunit ribosomal RNA", at positions 28 to 507 of the family's 1533-position model. The record is from RNAcentral.